GGUCAAGCCCCGAGCGGCUGAAGCAGACCCAACUCCGUCAGGUCCGGAAGGAAGCAGCGGUCAGUCCUACUUCAGAGUGCUUCGGUAAGCUUGGCUUUU
RNAcentral lists this signal recognition particle RNA (99 nucleotides) under Ignavibacteria bacterium. RNAcentral's name for it is "signal recognition particle sRNA small type". It matches the Rfam family "Bacterial small signal recognition particle RNA". From Rfam's summary of the family: The signal recognition particle (SRP) is a universally conserved ribonucleoprotein involved in the co-translational targeting of proteins to membranes. Archaeal SRP consists of a 7S RNA and homologues of the eukaryotic SRP19 and SRP54 proteins. The record is from RNAcentral. Lineage: Bacteria; Pseudomonadati; Ignavibacteriota; Ignavibacteria.